RNAcentral lists this ribosomal RNA (734 nucleotides) under uncultured bacterium. RNAcentral describes it as "bacterial SSU rRNA". It matches the Rfam family "Bacterial small subunit ribosomal RNA", at positions 743 to 1498 of the family's 1533-position model. The record is from RNAcentral.
ACGCUGAGAGACGAAAGCGUGGGGAUCAAAAAGGAUUAGAUACCCUUGUAGUCCACGCCGUAAACGAUGGAUACUAGCUAUUUGAAGUGUCGACCCUUCAAGUGGCGAAGCUAACGCGUUAAGUAUCCCGCCUGGGAAGUACGACGGCAACGUUAAAACUCAAAGGAAUAGACGGGGCUUCACACAAGCGGUGGACCAUGUGGCUCAAUUCGACAACAAACGAAGAACCUUACCAGGGCUUGACACUCACUUGACAGCUUGCCGAAAGGCGGGUUUUCUCACAAGGACAAGUGAGCAGGUGCUGCAUGGUUGUCGUCAGCAUGUGUUAUGAGAUGCACGCUUAAAUGCGGUAACAUGCGCAACCCCUAUCCUAUGUUUUAAUUGUCAUAGGGAACUGCCUGGGAUGACCAGGAGGAAGGUGGGGAUGACGCCAAAUCAGCAUGGCCCUUUGAUGCCCUGGGCUGCACACGUGGUACAAUGGAGCUGACAAUGGGUUGCUAAACGGCAACGCGGAGCUAAUCCCAUCAAACAGCUUCUCAGUUCGGAUUGAGGUCUGCAACUCGACCUCAUGAAGCUGGAAUCGCUAGUAAUCGCCAAUCAGCUAUGUGGCGAUGAAUAUGUUCCUGAAGCUUGUACUCACCGCCCGUCACAUUAGGGGAGCCGGCAGUAGCCGAAAUUCCUCGCAAGAGGGCCUAAGCUAAAGUCGGUAACAAGAAUGAAGUCGUAACAAGGUA